GAUGAACGCUGGCGACGUGCCUAAUACAUGCAAGUCGAACGCUGAAGCUUGGUGCUUGCACCGAGCGGAUGAGUUGCGAACGGGUGAGUAACGCGUAGGUAACCUGCCUCUUAGCGGGGGAUAACUAUUGGAAACGAUAGCUAAUACCGCAUAAAAGUCGAUAUCGCAUGAUAUUGAUUUGAAAGGUGCAAUUGCAUCACUAAGAGAUGGACCUGCGUUGUAUUAGCUAGUUGGUGAGGUAACGGCUCACCAAGGCGACGAUACAUAGCCGACCUGAGAGGGUUGUCGGCCACACUGGGACUGAGACACGGCCCAGACUCCUACGGGAGGGAGCAGUAGGGAAUCUUCGGCAAUGGGGGGAACCCUGAACGAGCAACGCCGAGUGAGGGAAGAAGGUUUUCGGAUCGUAAAGCUCUGUUGUAAGAGAAGAAAGAGUGUGAGAGUGGAAAGUUCACACUGUGACGGUAACUGACCAGAAAGGGACGGCUAACUACGUG
This 497-nucleotide ribosomal RNA is filed under the name uncultured bacterium. Its description in RNAcentral is "partial 16S ribosomal RNA". It matches the Rfam family "Bacterial small subunit ribosomal RNA", at positions 28 to 507 of the family's 1533-position model. The record is from RNAcentral.